AACAAACCAGCUUUCUAUUAUAGCACGAAUAUGAAUACAAGGUCUCCGAUAUUACAAUGAAUAACACCGGCACGGCGACACUAUGCCAACCAUAGUUGCUCUAUGCAAGCAGCAUAACAACUCGAGGCAGCGGAACCUCUACUGACAGCGGAAGAACUAUUGGUGGUGGAACAACCAAUGACGAUGAUGGACUCCAAUCCGCAGGGACUUUGGCUGGAACAUUUAUCCUAGCCUGCGAACACAGGAACCACACCAAACAAGCAAGCAAUCUAGGCACGACUUGUAAACUGGCAUGACACGCCAGGUCAGUACAUUGAAUGUACUUGCAAGCUCACAAUAACCAAAAGCAAUCAAGGCAAACAUCAGCAUGACAUUAGCAGGUUAAAUCAAUCAUGAGCAUGAUAUAUGGCAUACACAAACUGAACAUGAUAUGGCUAAGACAAGCAUAGCAUGAGCAUAUGAACAUGAUAAAACUACAUGCAACAAAUUAACAUCAUCAUGCACCAAAUUACUCUACUCGGGUUACCUCGUAACCAACACAUGCAUCAACUUACCAACAUCAGUAUCCACGAUACAACAGUGAUCCUCUCGGGAUCACGAAUAUCCAACAACUCGGUAUCCUUGAUGCCAACAACAUCUUUCUCAUCAUCGAACCAGGGUUGUUAUUAAUCAAGUUAUUAUUAUUGUUGGCUCAUAGUGUGACCUACUCCGAACUAGGCCCAUAUCCGCGGGCGCGGCUAUUGAUAGAUAUAACACACACACUCUGCAGAGGUAGCGCACUUUACCCACACCACGGAACCCAUGGCCUCGCACUCCCAUUCGGGUGGACCAACAACAUUCCGACGAAACCCUUCCCUUGCCAUGACACUCUCUCGGCCACUCAGACCAACUCCCUCUCAGGGCUAAGUCAUGGGUGGCCCCAAGCCUACAAAAGGCAUCUUCGGCCACCAUCGUGGCAAAAUAAACGGUCCCACAUGGGGACAUGGAUCCAUACAACAACAAACAGGCACACAAGGUUAUGUCUGCUUAUUGGUCCAGGGUACCGCACGCCCAUAACCUUCCCUCGUUGGAGGCACCGGCAAGAGGCAGGGGAGGGGGCAUGGGCGCACAUCGUCUUCCUCCCCAAGCCCACCCAGUUCCUCGCGUGAAGCAGAGGCAGAUCAGGGGAGGGGAAACGAGGGGAUCGGCCUGCUCCGGCCACCUCCGACCGAAGUGAGGCCACCGGAGGGCGCUGCGGGGCCAGCCGCACCCGUUCCCGGCUAGAGGGAGGCGCGGAACAGCGGCGAGGGGCGGCGCCAAGGAGGACAAAGGCGGAUGGGAGACGGUCUCCGACGGCGAGGCGGGGGAUCUCCAGCGAGGCUGAAGGUUCGGGGCGGACCGCGGGGUUGUGGGGAGUGCUCUGGUGGAGUCGGGGAGUCACGAGGAGCUCGGGAUGGUGGAGCAAUGGAGGUGGCCGAACGGCGGAGGCGGCGGCCGAACUAGGGAACCACGGCUAGAGGCACUCCGGCGACAAGCUAGAGGGGUGGGGCGAACCGCAGAGACGAGGGGAAUGCGACUGACAACUCGGGAGGAGGAGAGGGAGGCUAGGCUCGCUGAAACCAAGGAGGAAUCGCGGCGGCCGAGGUGAACUCCGGUGAAAAGAAGAGGGGUCGAGGGCUCCGGUGGUCGGGAGAGGCGUGGGAUGCACUUGGGAGCUGCGGGAGAGGUCGGGGUCUCUUAUAUAGGCCGAGGGGAGGCUUCUGGAGCUCACGGGCGAGAUCCCGACCAAACAUUAACGCUGGUCAAUGGCUAGGCAUGCCACGGGCGCGACGACGGCGACCAUAUGGAAGUGAUUCAGGGCGGGCAGCGACGCAGGGCGACUGAGUCGAGCACGGGUGAGCUACCAGACAUGAUUUGGUCGUGAGAGGCAGAUGGAGCGAAUGAGAACAGGGGCGAGGAAGACUCUAGAGCACGAGUGUGAUCACCACGCGCACUGGUGCAAAAUGAGAGUUUUGGCCAGGUCGACCGUGUCUAGUGCAUUUACCUUCGUGCCCUGAGUCUAAGCGAAGCAACAAGUCGGAUCAGGGGCAAAGAAGAGAUUUGCAGGAGGAGCCAAAAGGUUUUGGAAGCAAGGUGUUUGUGCUGUCCAGAGGGGGCACAAACCUGGGAACAAAGGAAGUGAUUUGUUUGUGCUUAUCACACAUUAAUAUGACCAUGAUCACCAGAAAUCAGCUUAAGAGGAGGAGUUUAGAGGGUGGUUGCUGUAGAAAGUGCCAUAAUGGCCAGAAAUGGAGAUUUGGAUGAUGCACUCACAUAGUUGCAUCAAAUGAGCUGAAAAUGGUUAUGGCUCGAUGAUUUGAAGAUAUUAAGAUUCCCAAGGAGUUUCAUGCCAUUUGGACGAACCAAAAUAGCACUUGCUUCACAUAGCUUCUCUCUGGAUAGAAACUUGGAAACAUUCCAAAGGACAAAUAGCUAAAUGGAUUGAGCCACAACUUGGUUCAGGGAGUUUAUAUGGGUAAGGGAAUGUCCUGGUAAAUUGGCAGCUUAAAUGAAGUAAUAUAAAAUAUAGUUGCUUCACAAACUGAAAAUCUGACCAGAAACUAAGAUUUGGAGCUAUGCUCACAUAGAAAGGUUACAUGAGCUCAUAUUGGGUUGAGAGUGAUGACUUGACCAAAUGAAGGAUGUGGCAAAAGUUCAUCUCAUUUGUACAUGCCUAGAAUAUACUUCCUUCACAAAGUUUCAUUCUGGGCAGAAACUUUGUAAAAUCAUACAAAAAUAAUUACUAGGCAAAUUUUGUUGAACUUUGGCACACGACAAUGAUAUGGAUAGGAAAAGGUGUCCAAGAAGUUGGGAGUGAAUUGGGCAAAGAUAAAUAGCAUUUGCUUCACAAAGUGCCAUUUAGGGCAGAAUAGGAAAAGAAUUAUUGGAGGAUUAUUUUUGAACAUGGCAAUGAAAUAGUUAGCCAUAUUUGAGCAAGAUAGGACCCACAUGUUUUAUGAGAAUUAUUUGGGAAUUUUAGGAGUGACAGAAAUAUGGGUUGCUUCACAAUCUAGGGCAAAUAUGAUAAUUCCUUUAUCAGAAAAGGAAUAUUCCCAAUAAAAAGAAUAUUGGGGUUUGGGAUAGGAUGAAAAUGACAUGAGCUAGGGAUGAAAAGCCACUAUAAAACCUAGGACGACAUGAUCUUCCCAAGUUUCAAAACCACACAGCCACCAAAAAGCAAAUUAAAUCCAGAAAUCCAAGAAAAUCCUUAGAAAAAGAAAAGGGAAAAAAUCUAGGCUGUUACAAACCUUCCCCCCUUAAAGAAAUCUUGUCUUCGAGAUUUGGUUGCUCAGGGGUAAUUAAUUUUCCUGACUUGAAGAAACCGUUUCGAACUCAUGUUUCUUUUAUUCAUUCUCCUAUAACAUUCCCACUGAAUUUGACCUGACUGACUGCCUUGAUCUGGUGUGGUUUGCUUCACCGUAUCUGACAUAUUGACAACACUUACUUCAUAUGUUCAUACUUAUACUGGCUCCAAUUCUUUUUAUAUCUGCUGACUUAGCUGACUGUGCAAUAUAUGCCUGUCUCAGAAAUCUGAGAGUGAUCUCUGAUUGCUGUGUCUAUACUGACAACCUUCCAUGAAGUGGGGAUCAUAAUUUUCGGAUGCACACCCAAGAUCUGACUCCUUGCAUUGGGUUUCUCCACUAAAUGCAGGUCCUUUGGGUUCCAAACAGUGAAUUGAGGCAUAACCAUUUCCUGACAGAUUUUGACUCAUCGUAGGAAUUUCUGAAUCGUCCUAACUGGCUCCACUAUGUGGUGUAUCAUAUCUGUACCAAAUGUUUGACUGUUCCUUGUCAUGGCCAGCAUGAAGGGGUAUGACCUUAUAUGAUAAUAUCCUCAGAGUUGACUAAUGGGGGUUCUGGCAGAAGGAUUUUUCCCACGACAGGCUAUCCAUGAUUCACUUAAGUGAGGGCACAUGCUUCGAGACUAUCUUUCAACAUUCUGAUUGCUCAUCCAAAAUUAAGUAGACCUCAUAGGUGAAUAUUGAUGGUGAUCAGCUCACUGACUCAGACUGUCCGGGGUAUCUGCACCAUGUGGUUCAUGCAACAAUCAUCAGUCUUGCUCCUCCAUUACUGUUUUCUUGAUCCAGAUCCUUUGCUGAACGAGCAGGGUCAUAUUGUUUCUCCGUGUGACCAUAGGAUCUGUCGGGUGAAAUAUUCUGACAGACGUACUCUUAUCCUCAUCUUCUGACAUGGUAACCCACUAAAUGGCAGGUUCAUCACUUCUCAAGUUCUGACCGUAGGAAAAUGAUCAUCUGAACCCUUGCAAGAAAUCAGCAAAUAAAUCAGUAGCCACCAGAACGGUCUUGACAACUCAGAUCUGGGACAUUACUGAAAUAACUCAACCACAGCUCGGGACGGCCGAAAAGCAGCUCAGAGCAUGAGACCGAGUCGAUAAGAAGAAAAUGGCAGCUCCCUAAGAUAGCCAAAAAGCAGGCAUAGGGCCACUGUCACAAAAAGAAACUCAACAGCCGUACAAGACGACCGGAAAGCAGCUCAGAACUCGUGACAGUUGUUGAAAAGAUAAAUAAAAAUUGGCAUCCACCCCGGAUGGCUAAUAACAUCUGAGAUCACAAGUGUGGUGCCGUCACUGGAGAAAAGGGGACAAGGGCUCAUCAGGAUCAUCUUCCAGGUUCACAGGUACUUGUACAGAGCUCACUGUUGUUGUCAAUCUUCAUAGUCCUUUGUCACACUGAGGUGUAUAGCUAACUUCCUUCUUUUAACAAUUCUCGUGUGACUGCCAAAUCUGUGUUUGAGUGACUUGUAAUACCUUGGUGGUAUGCUGACCGCAUAUAUAUGAGAAUCUGAUUCCCGAGGCAGAUUUGCUUUCCAACUGAUUCUUGCUUCUGACCAAACUGUUGCGAAUCUGAGGCUUGGAAAACACUGCCACAUGCUGACAAACCACUGUUUAUUUCCUUGUACCAGUGCUGCACUGAAGAUGAUUAGGCACCUUGCUUCGGAAUCCAUCAAGGUAUCGUGCUGCGAAAGACUGGAUAGCUUGUGCUCGAAGCUUUCUGCGGAUAUCUUGCUGAGGAAGACUGGGUACCGUACCUUAUAAGCUUCCCCCCUUAAGAACUUACUAGGGAAGACUCGGUACCUUAUACCAGAAGUUUUUGCAGUAUCCAAUUGAAAUGACUGAAUAUCUUGCACUGGAAUCCAUACCUUUCUGAUGGAGAAUGAGGAAUCUUGCCUUGUAUGCUCUGUUGAUAAAUUGUGGAGAAGGACUGGGCUGAUCUUCUGGGGUUGCAUGCUUCAAAUCUGACUCAUGGCAGAAUCAAUCAUCGGGUACAGGCCAUACUUCUGACUUGAAAUGCACGGUUGGACUAGGAUUAAUUUUGUUCUCUUGCUGAUUUAACCAUUGCUGCAAUAAAAGUGUAUCUCUGACGGGUACUAAAAAUCUGAGCAGACUAUACCUGUAUUCAGACCGGGUGUCUGCAAUACGAUACUGUCAGUUGAAAAUAUCAUUGCUUUAACAGAGUUCCUUGGUGUAUAUCUGUACUUCUCAUGGCUUCUUCUAAUCGAUGUCGGUUGAUGAGCAAUUUCCAUAAGGGGGUAACACCAAGGAUUUAAAACAAAGAAGCACGAGAAAACGAUCGAUUGCAGUAGAGCACACAACAAACAAGCUACAAAAAUAAUCCAAACAGGCACACACAAGCAUGAACAAGCAAUGAUACUACAGCAGAUGCACAUGCACUACCCGACUGACUACACCCUAUGCUUGAGCACAUGCGCGGGAGCUGACGAAGAAGCUAUGGGAGUAGCGAGUGGAACGGCUGACUCUGAAACUCCGGACGGACAAGGCAGAGGGGUUGGUGAAGCUGGCAGAGACUGAGGUAGGGAAGCACCAAGAAAUCUCCUGGCUCGAAUGGCGUCUCGGACUAACUCAGAAAUAAGAAGGCACUCGACCGUCAUGUAAUGGGACAUGGCGAAGAUAGCCGGGUCUUCUUGAGGGUUGACAGAUGGAACUUGGAUCCGCUUAGGAUUCUCGAUGAUGGUGGGAUAGUAUUGAUAAGCAUGGUUCUCUUGCAACAUGCUCUCUUGACAACGAAGACCGGUGAUUGCUGCCAUUGCGGCAAGAUGAACAACACGCUCGGGAGUAGCGCCUUAACCACUGUGGAAACUGUAGGUGCGCUUACCAAUAGGAAUCGGGGCUAACAGAUGGACAUGGGCAACAUACUCCAGGAUUCUUCCUCCGGCAGAAAACUGGAAUACUUGAUAUUAAGGUGGAUCUCCACGGGGAUAAAUGCUAUGCCACAUAUCGCCAAGGAGGGUGGCAAAGUUGAGAGGUGCAGGAGUGUGGCUGAACGCAAUAGGAACAACACCGGGAGCUUUGGGAAGGGUAUUCAACUCGUGGAAAUUGACCGCCAUCUACGCACGAAACAUGGGUUAGGGGUAACCGAAUAAGACUAUAUGCAACAAACAAAUGCAACCAAAUGCAACAAGAAAGGGCAACAACCUGACCAUAUACUACCAUUUUCUAACAUUCCAGUGGACUAGGAUGCUCUACAGCCAGACCUGCUCUGAUACCAAGCUUGUGGCACCCCGACUCAGAUAAACUGGAACGCACCCAUAUUCCAGCCCAGAGAUCAAGGUGAAGUCUUCUGGAAUACGACACUACUUAGCAUAGAACAAACCAGCUUUCUAUUAUAGCAUGAAUAUGAAUACAAGGUCUCCAAUAUUACAAGGAAUAACACCAGCACGGCGACACUAUGCCAACCAUAGUUGCUCUAUGCAAGCAGCAUAACAACUCAAGGCAGCGGAACCUCUACUGAUAGUGGAAGAACUAUUGGCAGCGAAACAACGAACGACGAUGAUGGACUCCAAUCCACAGGGACUCUGGCUGGAACGUUUACCCUAGCUCGGGAACAUAGGAACCACACCAAACAAGCAAGCAAUCCAGGCACGACCUGCAAACUGGCAUGACACGCCACGUCAGUACAUUGAAUGCACUUGCAAGCUCACAAUAACCAAAAGCAAUCAAGGCAAACAUCAGCAUGGCAUUAGCAGGUUAUAUCAAUCAUGAGCAUGAUAUAUGGCAUACACAAACUGAACAUGAUACGGCUAAGACAAGCAUAGCAUGAGCAUAUGAACAUGAUAAAACUACAUGCAACAAAUUAACAUCAUCAUGCAUCAACUUACUCUGCUCGGAUUACCUUGUAACCAACACAUGCAUAAACUUACCAACAUCAGUAUCCAUGAUACAACGGUGAUCCUCUCGUGAUCACGAAUAUCCAACAACUCGGUAUCCUUGAUACCGCCAACAUCUUUCUCAUCAUCGAACCAGGGUUGUUAUUAAUCAAGUUAUUAUUACUGUUAGCUCAUAGUGUGACCUACUCCAAACUGGGCCCAUAUCCGCGGGUGCGGCUAUCGAUAGAUUUAAUACACACACUCUGCAGAGGUAGCGCACUUUACCCACACCACAGAACCCAUGGCCUCGCACUCCCAUUCGGGUGGCCCAACGGCGUUCCAACGAAACCCUUCCCUUGCCAUGACACUCUCCCGGCCACUCCGACCAACUCCCUCUCACGUCUAAGUCAUGGGUGGCCCCAUGCCUACCAAAGGCAUCUUCGGCCACCAUUGUGGCAAAAUAAAUGGUCCCAAACGAGGACAUGGAUCCAUACAACAACAAACGGGCACACAAGGUUAUGUAUGCUUACCGAGCCAGGGUACCGCAUGCCCAUAACCUUCCCUCGUUGGAGGCACCAGCAAGAGGCAUGACAAAGGACCGAAUCAAGACCCCCCCCCCAUAAAGGUAAAUGUGGUUGCACUGGUCAGCUUGAUUCAGUGGCACCAUGACUCAGCCAACAGAUGUUCAAGUUCAUUAUUAUCCGGUUAAACUUGAAUGCAAUAAUCUAAGUCAUAAAAAUUACAUGAUGCAACUACGAUGCAUGAGCAUGAUAUCAACAUAAGCAUGGAGGUGCAACAUAAUCAUCGAGCAUAACCAUAAUGAAUCAUAUAUCCGAAUGAGCAUGGCAUACCGACGAGCAUGAAUAACAUAAAUCUACCAUAAGCAAAGCAUGACCACUAGCAUCAUGAAUAAAUACCAUGCAUAACCAUAGCAGAAACACUACCAAGUAAGCAUGUAACCAACUAGAUGCAACAGAACCAACAUAGCAACGGUACUAAAUAUCAGACUAAGCAUGCAUCCGCAGAACAUCGCAACUACUAGCAUGUAUUAUGAUACGUCUCCAAUGUAUCUAUAAUUUUUUAUUUUUCCAUGCUAUUAUGUUACCCAUUUUGGAUGUUUAUGGGUUUUACUUUACACUUUUAUAUCAUUUUUGGGACUAACCUACUAACCGGAGGCCCAUCCCAAAUUGGUGUUUUUUUUGCCUAUUUCAGUGUUUCAAAGAAAAGGAAUAUCAAACGGAGUCCAAACGGAAUGAAACCUUCGGGAGCGAUCUUUUUGAAACAAACAUGAUCCAGAGGACUUGGAGUGGAAGUCAAGAAACAAGCGAGGCGUCCACGAGGGUGCCCGGCACGCCCCCCGCCAUCAAGGGCCCCUCGAGUGUCCACCAACCUACUUCUUCCUCCUAUAUAUACCCAUGUACCCCAAAAACAUCAGAAGCGACCACGAAAAACUAUUUCCACCGCCGUAACCUUCUGUAUCCGCGAGAUCCCAUCUUGGAGCCUUCGUCGGUGCUCCGCCGGAGGGGAAAUCGACCAUGGAGGGCCUCUACAUCAUCUCCAAGGCCUCUCCGAUGAGUUGUGAGUAGUUUACCACAGACCUUCGGGUCCAUAAUUAUUAGCUAGAUGGCGUCUUCUCUCUCUUCGAAUCUCAAUACAAAGUUAUCCUCGAUCUUCUUGGAGAUCUAUUCGAUGUAACUCUUUUUGCAGUGUGUUUGUCGAGAUCCGAUGAAUUGUGGGUUUAUGAUCAAGUUUAUCUAUGGGAAAUAUUUAAAUCUCUUCUGAAUUCUUUUAUGUGUGAUUAAGUUAUCUUUGCAAGUCUCUUCGAAUUAUCGGUUUGGUUUGGCCUACUAGAUUGAUCUUUCUUGCAAUGGGAGAAGUGCUUAGCUUUGGGUCCAAUCUUGCGGUGUCCUUUCCCAGUGACAGCAGGGGCAGCAAGGCACGUAUUGUAUUGUUGCCAUCGAGGAUAAAAAGAUGGGGUUUAUUCAUAUUGCAUGAGUUUAUCCCUCUACAUCAUGUCAUCUUUCUUAAUGCGUUACUCUGUUCUUUAUGAACUUAAUACUCUAGAUGCAUGCUGGAUAGCAAUCGAUGUGUGGAGUAAUAGUAGUAGAUGCAGAAUCGUUUCGGUCUACUUGUCACGGACGUGAUGCCUAUAUACAUGAUCAUGCCUAGAUAAUCUCAUAAUUAUUCGCUUUUCUAUCAAUUUCUCGAUAGUAAUUUGUUCACCCACCGUAAUACUUAUGCUAUCUUGAGAGAAGCCACUAGUGAAACCUAUGCCCCCCGGGUCUAUCUCUUAUCAUAUAAGCUUUCAAUCUACUUUUAUUUUCAUCUUUACUUUUCCAAUCUAUAUCAUAAAAUACCAAAAAAUAUAUUUAUCUUAUCAUAUUAUCUCUAUCAGAUCUCACUUUCGCAAGUGGCCUUGAAGGGAUUGACAACCCCUUUAUUGCGUUGGUUGCGAGUUCUUGUUUGUUUGUGUAGGUGCAUGGGACUUUUGAGGAGCCUCCUACUGGAUUGAUACAUUGGUUCUCAAAAACUGAGGGAAAUACUUACGCUACUAUUGCUGCAUCACCCUUUCCUCUUCAAGGAAAACCAACACAAGCUCAAGAUGUAGCAUAUUACUAGUACCAAGCAUGACUUACGAACAUGAUACUAGCAAGUAGCACAAUAUAUCACGAUGCAACAUAAGAUAGCAGGAAUGUGGACACGAGUCCACGAGUAAAAUUGAAACAACGGCAGUAGCAACAAACAAGCAGGCAGAUAACGACAAAAUUUUAUUAAAUAUUCAAGUUGAAAACCAAGGCUACUUCAUUACUAUCAUGCAAGUGGCUGUUGUGGCUUGCCCGGGGGUGACGGAGACUCCAGGAAGAAGUGCGGUGAAGCCACGGAAACAGAACACCGGACGGUUCUCUCUCGAAGGGGGCUGAUAAGGGCAAUGGCAAACUGGUCAUUUUCACUGUGGGACCACUAGUGAAAAUGGAACCAAGAGAAAGAGCUCGACAAUACGAAGAUGAUAGCGUUGGUUUCACAUCGAUCGGAGUUACGGUCAUCCAGAUACGAAGAGAAGAAGUGGAGGGACCAAACUGUAAAAAGAAUAUUCACAAACAAGUCCCUGAUUGGAUAAGGCAGAGGCGCAGAAUCAAAAAUACGCUUUCUUAACAGGAAAACGUACUUCGGGCCGAAGCAGAAGGAAAUACGCUUUCCAAUCAAGAAAACGUACUUAUGGAAGACAGAGGAAGAAACUACGCUUUCAGAAUGAGAAAAUGUAUUGGAGUAGAAUACGCUUUUGGUCAAAUGUAAACGGACUAACCCGGGAGCAUUUCCACUUGCCAUGUCAGCGGCGCGCCUGGGCCACUGACGGGCCGGGCCCAGCGGCAGGGGAGGGGGCACGGGCGCACGUCGUCUUCCUCCCCGCGCCCGCCCUGUUCUUCGCGUGAAGCGGAGGCAGAGCAGGGGAGGGGCGACGAGGGGACCGGCCACCUCCGGCCAAAGCGAGGCCACCGGAG
Molecule: long non-coding RNA, 10642 nt
Filed under: Triticum aestivum (bread wheat)
Lineage: Eukaryota; Viridiplantae; Streptophyta; Magnoliopsida; Poales; Poaceae
Description: long non-coding RNA (TAES_LNC027214)
Source: RNAcentral